CUAAAGCAGCGAUGCUCUUUGGGAUGGGCUUGCGGCCUAUCAGCUAGUUGGUGAGGUAACGGCUCACCAAGGCGACGACGGGUAGCUGGUCUGAGAGGAUGGUCAGCCGGACUGGGACUGAGACACGGCCCAGACUCCUACGGGGGGCAGCAAUUAGGAAUCUUGCGCAAUGGGGGAAACCCUGACGCAGCGACGCCGCGUGAAGGAUGACGGCCUUCGGGUUGUAAACUUCUUUUAAGAGGGAAGAAGUAAGUGACGGUACCUCUUGAAUAAGCCCCGGCUAACUACGUGCCAGCAGCCGCGGUAAUACGUAGGGGGCGAGCGUUGUCCGAAGUUACUGGGCGUAAAGCGCGCGUAGGCGGGUUAUUAAGUUGGAUGUGAAAUCUCCGGGCUCAACUCGGAAACCGCAUUCAAAACUGGUAGCCUUGAGGUAUGGAGAGGGAAGUGGAAUUCCUGGUGUAGCGGUGAAAUGCGUAGAUAUCAGGAGGAACACCCGUGGCGAAGGCGGCUUCCUGGUCAUAUCCUGACGCUGAGGUGCGAAAGCUAGGGGAGCGAACGGGAUUAGAUACCCCGGUAGUCCUAGCCGUAAACGAUGGAUACUAGGUGUUAGUGGUAUCGACCCCACUAGUGCCGCAGCUAACGCAAUAAGUAUCCCGCCUGGGGAGUACGGCCGCAAGGUUGAAACUCAAAUGAAUUGACGG
RNAcentral lists this ribosomal RNA (701 nucleotides) under uncultured bacterium. RNAcentral describes it as "bacterial SSU rRNA". It matches the Rfam family "Bacterial small subunit ribosomal RNA", at positions 201 to 916 of the family's 1533-position model. The record is from RNAcentral.